GUGUGAUUGUGUGUUAUCAACAUCAUUCUGAAAUAAUACAAAUACUGUUAUCUCACUUUACUCUUGACUCUAACUUUAUCUUUAGUUUACUCAAUUCUUGGACUUUUUGUGUACUCUGGCCUUAUUUCGAGUCCCAGAACGAAUAUAUAAAUCAAGUUUUGUCUCAUUCUAUCCUCUCUGCACUCUUAUUUCACUCUGGGCCAGUGUUUCAUUUCAUUCCAUAUUGUUAAUCCAGGUAUUACAUACGUGGUACUUCAACUUCACUUGCAGAAUUUCAAAUAAAAUUGGGGAUUUUUUGUUCGUGGGGCCGUGACCGGGGGGGUGAUCGCGAGGACAAAACGGGUGUCACGCUCACCAAUUUUGACCCAAUUAGCAUCCUUGAUUUUAUCAUCACCAACUUCACUCUCUCACUAUAACACCAGCCGGAGCUGGAGUCUUCACAGCAGGAAAUACUGACUAAUCGUGCCAAUUAUCUGGACAACGACUCUCGGCAAUUCGUCACUCGGUCAAGAGAGAACAGCCCCAAACGAGGGGCGCCAUCAUCAUCAUCGUCAUCACGACAUCAUCAUGGACAGCAUGGACAGCUUCCAUGGACAAAGAUUACAUAACGUGGUUUCGAACUAAGUGGAGUAGUUGGUCUUGUCACUUUGAAAUUAUAAGUGAGAUUCAACUUCUCUACUUAUUUCGACAGCCAAGACUCUUCCCACCCAACACGUGGUCCAAGUGGUCCAACUAUCAAGAAUUUAUUGUAGUCCGUUAUAUAAGACACAAAUUUAUCCGGAAAGUAAUGCAAUAUCCCAAUGCCCAAAUAAACCAAUUUACUAACAAGACAAAAUAUAUUACUGAUUGUGCUAAA
This is a long non-coding RNA of Folsomia candida, 856 nucleotides long. RefSeq lists it as uncharacterized. NCBI's taxonomy places the organism in Eukaryota, Metazoa, Arthropoda, Collembola, Entomobryomorpha, Isotomidae. The transcript has 2 exons. The record is from RefSeq and is a predicted model, not a curated record.